AACGAACGCUGGCGGCAUGCCUAACACAUGCAAGUCGAACGAGACCUUCGGGUCUAGUGGCGCACGGGUGCGUAACGCGUGGGAACCUGCCCUUAGGUUCGGAAUAACUCCCCGAAAGGGGUGCUAAUACCGGAUAAUGUCUUCGGACCAAAGAUUUAUCGCCUUUGGGUGGGCCCGCGUUAGAUUCGCUAGUUGGUAGUGUAAAAGCCUACCAAGGCGACGAUCCAUAGCUGGUCUGAGAGGAGGAUCAGCCACACUGGGACUGAGACACGGCCCAGACUCCUACGCGAGGCAGCAGUGGGGAACAUUGGACAAGGGGCGAAAGCCUGAUCCAGCAAUGCCGCGUGAGUGAUGAAGGCCUUAGGGUUGUAAAGCUCUUUUACCCGGGAUGAUAAUGACAGUACCGGGAGAAUAAGCUCCGGCUAACUCCGUG
This 433-nucleotide ribosomal RNA is filed under the name uncultured bacterium. Its description in RNAcentral is "partial 16S ribosomal RNA". It matches the Rfam family "Bacterial small subunit ribosomal RNA", at positions 29 to 507 of the family's 1533-position model. The record is from RNAcentral.